CUGACCUUAGCUCAGUUGUAGAGUGGUGGACUGUAGUUGGACUAAUCUAAAUUGGAAAUCCUUAGGUCGCUGGUUUGAUUCCGCCAGGUUGGA
Ipomoea nil (Japanese morning glory) is the source of this 93-nucleotide transfer RNA. It matches the Rfam family "tRNA". From Rfam's summary of the family: Transfer RNA (tRNA) molecules are approximately 80 nucleotides in length. Their secondary structure includes four short double-helical elements and three loops (D, anti-codon, and T loops). Further hydrogen bonds mediate the characteristic L-shaped molecular structure. tRNAs have two regions of fundamental functional importance: the anti-codon, which is responsible for specific mRNA codon recognition, and the 3' end, to which the tRNAs corresponding amino acid is attached (by aminoacyl-tRNA synthetases). tRNAs cope with the degeneracy of the genetic code in two manners: having more than one tRNA (with a specific anti-codon) for a particular amino acid; and 'wobble' base-pairing, i.e. permitting non-standard base-pairing at the 3rd anti-codon position. Lineage: Eukaryota; Viridiplantae; Streptophyta; Magnoliopsida; Solanales; Convolvulaceae. The record is from Rfam.